GAAUAGACUACCCCGGUAGUCCACGCCGUAAACGAUGUGUGCUAGUUGUUGGGGACCGUCAGGUCUCGGCGACGCAGAGAAAUCUAUAAGCACACCGCCUGGGGGAGUACGGCCGCAAGGUUAAAACUCAAAGGAAUUGACGGGGGACCCGCACAAGCGGUGGAGCAUGUUGUUUAAUUCGAAGCAACGCGAAGAACCUUACCUACUCUUGACAUACCUCUUAGGACUUUCAGAGAUGAUUGUCUUCGGUUCGGCCGGGGAGGAUACAGGUGCUGCAUGGCUGUCGUCAGCUCGUGUCGUGAGAUGUUGGGUUAAGUCCCGCAACGAGCGCAACCCUUGUCCUUAGUUGCCAUCAUUCAGUUGGGAACUCUAAGGAGACCGCCGGUGACAAACCGGAGGAAGGUGGGGAUGACGUCAAGUCAUCAUGGCCUUUUAUGGCCAGGGGCUACACACGUGCUACAAUGGCAGAUACAGAGGGUGGCCAACCGGGCGACGGGGAGCCAAUCCCAGAAAAUCUGUCUUAGUCCGGAUUGCAGUCUGCUAACCG
Molecule: ribosomal RNA, 547 nt
Filed under: uncultured bacterium
Lineage: Bacteria
Description: bacterial SSU rRNA
Rfam family: Bacterial small subunit ribosomal RNA
Source: RNAcentral